CAGUAGCCGCGGUAAUACGGAGGGUGCAAGCGUUAAUCGGAAUUACUGGGCGUAAAGCGCACGCAGGCGGUCUGUCAAGUCAGAUGUGAAAUCCCCGGGCUUAACCUGGGAACUGCAUUUGAAACUGGCAGGCUAGAGUCUUGUAGAGGGGGGUAGAAUUCUAGGUGUAGCGGUGAAAUGCGUAGAGAUCUGGAGGAAUACCGGUGGCGAAGGCGGCCCCCUGGACAAAGACUGACGCUCAGGUGCGAAAGCGUGGGGAGCAAACAGGAUUAGAUACCCCGGUAGUCCCUGUCUCUUAUAC
Molecule: ribosomal RNA, 301 nt
Filed under: uncultured bacterium
Lineage: Bacteria
Description: partial 16S ribosomal RNA
Rfam family: Bacterial small subunit ribosomal RNA
Source: RNAcentral